UACCAGCACCCCGAGUGGUCGGGACGAUUAUUGGGCCUAAAGCAUCCGUAGCCGGUCUUGCAAGUCUUCCGUUAAAUCCAACUGCUUAACAGAUGGGCCGCGGAGGAUACUAUAAGACUAGGAGGCAGGAGAGGCAAGCGGUACUCAGUGGGUAGGGGUAAAAUCCGUUGAUCCAUUGAAGACCACCAGUGGCGAAGGCGGCUUGCCAGAAUGCGCUCGACGGUGAGGGAUGAAAGCUGGGGGAGCAAACCGG
Molecule: ribosomal RNA, 253 nt
Filed under: uncultured bacterium
Lineage: Bacteria
Description: partial 16S ribosomal RNA
Rfam family: Archaeal small subunit ribosomal RNA
Source: RNAcentral